ACUUGGUGAGUAGGCCAGCGACGGACUGUAUUUGGCAGACUGAGGAUUGUAGCUUGGGGAUGUAGGACUAUAGGUUGGUGAAGUUGGGCUAUAACUUGGUGAAGUUGGACUAUAACCAGGAGAAGUGGGGCUAUAGGCUGGUGAAGUGGGGCUGUACGAUGGAGAAGUAGGGCUGUAUGACGGUGAGGUAGGGCUGUACGAAGGUGAUGUUGGGCUGUAGGAAGGAGAGGUUGGGCUGUACGAUGGUGAGGUGGGGCUGUAUGCAGGUGAGGUGGGGCUAUAUGCAGGUGAGGUGGGGCUAUAUGCCGGUGAGGUGGGGCUAUAGCUUGGUGAAGUUGGACUGUAACUGGGAGAAGUGGGGCUGUAACUUGGAGAGGUCGGGCUGUAGCUUGGGGAUGUUGGGCUGUAACUUGGGGAG
Molecule: long non-coding RNA, 418 nt
Filed under: Citrus maxima (pomelo)
Lineage: Eukaryota; Viridiplantae; Streptophyta; Magnoliopsida; Sapindales; Rutaceae
Description: long non-coding RNA (CMAX_LNC000008)
Source: RNAcentral